Small nucleolar RNA from Gastrolobium bilobum, 107 nucleotides. The record is from RefSeq and is a predicted model, not a curated record. Lineage: Eukaryota; Viridiplantae; Streptophyta; Magnoliopsida; Fabales; Fabaceae.
AUGCCAUGUUGAGAACACUUUCGGAGUAGUCCUUUAAAUCUUUCCCAUGCCUCGUACAAGGAUUCACUUUUUUUUUGUUCAACAACAAUGAUCUCUGCUUUGAGCCU